RNAcentral lists this ribosomal RNA (253 nucleotides) under uncultured bacterium. RNAcentral describes it as "partial 16S ribosomal RNA". It matches the Rfam family "Bacterial small subunit ribosomal RNA", at positions 524 to 776 of the family's 1533-position model. The record is from RNAcentral.
UCCGGGGGGGGGAAGCGUUGUGCGGAAUUACGGGGCGUAAAGGGCGCGUAGGCGGCCUGCUAAGUCGGACGUGAAAUCCCUCGGCUCAACCGGGGAACUGCGUCCGAUACUGGUGGGCUCGAAUCCGGGAGAGGGAUGUGGAAUUCCAGGUGUAGCGGUGAAAUGCGUAGAUAUCUGGAGGAACACCGGUGGCGAAGGCGGCAUCCUGGACCGGUAUUGACGCUGAUGCGCGAAAGCCAGGGGAGCAAACGGG